RNAcentral lists this ribosomal RNA (483 nucleotides) under uncultured bacterium. RNAcentral describes it as "partial 16S ribosomal RNA". It matches the Rfam family "Bacterial small subunit ribosomal RNA", at positions 29 to 507 of the family's 1533-position model. The record is from RNAcentral.
UUGAACGCUGGCGGCAUGCUUUACACAUGCCAGUCGAACGGCGGCGCGGGCUUCGGCCUGGCGGCGAGUGGCGAACGGGUGAGUAAUACAUCGGAACGUGCCCAGUAGUGGGGGAUAGCUCGGCGAAAGCCGGAUUAAUACCGCAUACGACCUGAGGGUGAAAGCGGGGGAUCUUCGGACCUCGCGCUAUUGGAGCGGCCGAUGGCAGAUUAGCUAGUUGGUGGGGUAAAGGCCUACCAAGGCGACGAUCUGUAGCUGGUCUGAGAGGACGACCAGCCACACUGGGACUGAGACACGGCCCAGACUCCUACGGGAGGCAGCAGUGGGGAAUUUUGGACAAUGGGCGAAAGCCUGAUCCAGCAAUGCCGCGUGUGUGAUGAAGGCCUUCGGGUUGUAAAGCACUUUUGGCGGGAACGAAAAGGACUGUGCCAAUACCACGGUUCGAUGACGGUACCCGCAGAAUAAGCACCGGCUAACUACGUG